RNAcentral lists this long non-coding RNA (229 nucleotides) under Elaeis guineensis (African oil palm). RNAcentral's name for it is "long non-coding RNA (EGUI_LNC056606)". The record is from RNAcentral. Lineage: Eukaryota; Viridiplantae; Streptophyta; Magnoliopsida; Arecales; Arecaceae.
UUUGCUUUGAUUUAAUUAAGAUUUAAUAUAAAUUAUGAGGGUUAAUUUUGAAGGAAAGGAAACAGUUUCUCUCCAGAAUGCUCAGGUUGCAUCUAAAAUUUUUUUCUAAUAUUCUACUUAUUUAGGGAUCAAAUCCUUACCUGAAUUAUAGCAAAACUAAAGAUCAAAUCUUAAAUUAUCUGAUAUAAACCUUCAUGAAGGCCUGGAUAUACAAACCAUCUACUUCACA